GACGUAGGGCGCAAGCGUUGUCCGGAUUUAUUGGGCGUAAAGAGCUCGUAGGCGGCCUGUCGCGUCGACCGUGAAAACCCGCAGCUCAACUGCGGGCUUGCGGUCGAUACGGGCAGGCUGGAGUUCGGUAGGGGAGACUGAAAUUCCUGGUGUAGCGGUGAAAUGCGCAGAUAUCAGGAGGAACACCGGUGGCGAAGGCGGGUCUCUGGGCCGAUACUGACGCUGAGGAGCGAAAGCGUGGGGAGCGAACAGG
This 253-nucleotide ribosomal RNA is filed under the name uncultured bacterium. RNAcentral's name for it is "partial 16S ribosomal RNA". It matches the Rfam family "Bacterial small subunit ribosomal RNA", at positions 524 to 776 of the family's 1533-position model. The record is from RNAcentral.